Molecule: ribosomal RNA, 253 nt
Filed under: uncultured bacterium
Lineage: Bacteria
Description: partial 16S ribosomal RNA
Rfam family: Bacterial small subunit ribosomal RNA
Source: RNAcentral
UACGUAGGGUGCGAGCGUUAAUCGGAAUUACUGGGCGUAAAGUGUGCGCAGGCGGCCGAGCAAGUCGAGUGUGAAAGCCCCGAGCUUAACUUGGGAACUGCGCUCGAAACUACUUGGCUGGAGUGUGGCAGAGGAAGGUGGGAUUCCACGUGUAGCGGUGAAAUGCGUAGAGAUGUGGAGGAACACCGAUGGCGAAGGCAGCCUUCUGGGCCAACACUGACGCUCAUGCACGAAAGCGUGGGGAGCAAACAGG